CGCGUGAGAAUCUGCCCUUAGGAGGGGGACAACAGUUGGAAACGACUGCUAAUACCCCAUAUGCCGAGAGGUGAAACAUUAAUGGCCUGAGGAGGAGCUCGCGUCUGAUUAGCUAGUUGGUGGGGUAACGGCCUACCAAGGCGACGAUCAGUAGCUGGUCUGAGAGGAUGAUCAGCCACACUGGGACUGAGACACGGCCCAGACUCCUACGGGAGGCAGCAGUGGGGAAUUUUCCGCAAUGGGCGAAAGCCUGACGGAGCAAGACCGCGUGAGGGAGGAAGGUCUGUGGAUUGUAAACCUCUUUUCUCAGGGAAGAAGAACUGACGGUACCUGAGGAAUCAGCAUCGGCUAACUCCGUGCCAGCAGCCGCGGUAAUACGGAGGAUGCAAGCGUUAUCCGGAAUUAUUGGGCGUAAAGCGUCCGUAGGUGGCUAAGCAAGUCUGCUGUUAAAGAGCGGAGCUAAACUCCGUAAAGGCGGUGGAAACUGCAUAGCUAGAGUGUGGUAGGGGUAGAGGGAAUUCCCAGUGUAGCGGUGAAAUGCGUAGAUAUUGGGAAGAACACCGGUGGCGAAGGCGCUCUACUGGGCCACAACUGACACUGAUGGACGAAAGCUAGGGGAGCG
RNAcentral lists this ribosomal RNA (622 nucleotides) under Oscillatoria sp. CCAP 1459/26. RNAcentral describes it as "bacterial SSU rRNA". It matches the Rfam family "Bacterial small subunit ribosomal RNA", at positions 114 to 770 of the family's 1533-position model. Lineage: Bacteria; Bacillati; Cyanobacteriota; Cyanophyceae; Oscillatoriales; Oscillatoriaceae. The record is from RNAcentral.